CCAGCCAAGGAGGUGUCACCGCCCAGCUAGGCAGUGCCACCGCCUACAGUGUUUUCAGCCCGACUACAGUGUUUUCAGCCACUAGUUGGGCUUCAAUCUUGGCUCUCUAGUUCGCUGGUUUAGCUUAAUUUUUAGCCUAAACCAACUCUGACUUUGGGCCCAGUUGGCCCCUAACCAGGAUAUAGGAUUAUCUCUUAAU
This 199-nucleotide long non-coding RNA is filed under the name Musa acuminata (dwarf banana). RNAcentral describes it as "long non-coding RNA (MACU_LNC007215)". The record is from RNAcentral. Lineage: Eukaryota; Viridiplantae; Streptophyta; Magnoliopsida; Zingiberales; Musaceae.